This 52-nucleotide non-coding RNA is filed under the name Trypanosoma lewisi. Lineage: Eukaryota; Euglenozoa; Kinetoplastea; Trypanosomatida; Trypanosomatidae. The record is from RNAcentral.
AUAAUUAACGCAAAUGGGGGGUGUAAACUGACAUAGAAACGUGAUAAUAAAU